Cavia porcellus (domestic guinea pig) is the source of this 3876-nucleotide long non-coding RNA. RefSeq lists it as uncharacterized. Lineage: Eukaryota; Metazoa; Chordata; Mammalia; Rodentia; Caviidae. The transcript has 3 exons. The record is from RefSeq and is a predicted model, not a curated record.
AGGAGGGGGGUAAGAGGGAGAGGCAGGGUGCAGGAGGACAAUGGGGUGCCAGGGCAAUCUGACCCCUGGGGCACGGACAGCCUCCUGGAGGAAGCAACCUGCAGGCUGAGCCAGAAGGAAGAGUAAGUGCUGGGCAGGGGGCAGGGGAGGGGACAGGCCGGCUCCGUGGUGGGCUCCACUCCUGCAGGGCACUGGGAACAGGCUCAGGUGUCCAGGACCACAAGGGCCAGCUCACAAGCUGGGACAGAGUUGGCCCAGGAUGAGAUAGUCUCUCGGCCAGGGAGCUGGUCACACGGCAGCUGGGCCUGGCUAUAGCAGGGCAAGGUGGCCACAGACCACCAAUAGGGGACACAAGGAGAGCUAGAGGACUUCUGGGCUGGCACCGAGGAGGGGCCUGGCCUCGCAGCCUGCAGAGAGCACCAGGGGCCUCAGGGGGAGGAGAGUUCCCAGAAGGAAGCCAGGGCCCUUGUCACAGCCGUGGGGUGGGGACAGCAGGCAAAAAGGCUAGAAGAGGGGCUGCGGGGCGAGGCCAGCAGGGACCCAGGAUGUCAUCCCUGGCUGUGGGGAGAUGAGGCAGUCAGAGGGGCCUGCUAAGGACAGGACACUGGCCUGGCACUGGCAGGACUGCAAGACGCGGUAUGACAAUGCGGGGACAUCCUGGAGGGCUUGGGGGCAGCAGGAAGGGGAAGAAGGAAAGGAGGCAUUGGUGGACCAGUGUCCACGGGGACAGCUGGGAGGUACAAGGCCACACCCAGGAUUCCAGGGGCUAUGCCAGCCAGCGCAGGCCCCAGGAGGGGCACAGGUGUCGGGGAGGGUGACAGCUUAGUUUUGGACACGCUAGGUCUGAGGUCCCUGUAGGGUAUCCAGGAGGGGGAGACAGGAGGUCUGCAGAGAAUGGGCAUAAAAUGGGCAUGCGAGGCUCGCUGGGCACCUCCCAGCUCCUGCAGCCAUGUCCGGGCAGCAGGCCCCGCCCCACAGGAAGAGGCUGAGGGUAGGACGGCCGCUGGCCCUGAAUCCUAGGUCCCAAAAACCCGCACUCAGACUUGGGGCUCAGCCUGCCCUGGAGAGGCCUUGCGUGGCCUCGGCUUCCUCACCAGGGCAGUGCAGGAGCAGGGCCGGGCUGCAGCCCUGAACCUGCAGCCUCAUACAUAUCUGGUGUCAGUUUGCACACUCGUGUGCACACUACACACACCGAUGCUCCAGUUCGGACCCAUCCCUCUCCCUGUGGUAAAGCACCGCCUGAAGCAGCAAAGGCCUUCCAAGGGUCCCGAGUGCUGCAUGGCUCGGGCAGGGAAGCAGGGUCCUCUGGACAGUGCCACUGCCAGCCGGAGCAGCCACCAUCCCCAGCCUCGUCCUGCCUGUCCUGUCGCCUGCUUGGGCCCAGGCAGGGUGCAGACACAGCUGUGCUGAUUUCCCUAACUUCCAAGAGCUGUGGCAGCCACCAGAAAGGGGGUCCCCCAGCAGAGAUGUGGGAGCAGGUGCCAGCAGACCUGGUGACGAUGGGACCGAAUGGUUGGGGCUUGCAGGGGGAGGUGCCGGGCUGGGACCCACACCUGUGUCCCUCUGUCCUCUGGUCCUGCAGUACUCCAGCCCCAGGUAGUCCCUGUGGAGCAAGAGGACCCACCAUGGAGGGCCGAGGCUGACACUGGCAGGGCCAGGCAAGCUCUCAGGCUGCUUGGCUCCAGUGAGCUGGGCAGAAAGGGCGGAAUCCUGGGCCAGUCCCUCCUUUCCUACUGGGAUCCUGGCUGACACUUCACGCCUAGCCAAUAUGGAGUCUCAUAACAUAUGGAGUCGCAUAACAGUGACCCCAGUUAACACUGAGGGAGGCAAAGUGGGCCUUGCUCCCAGGAGAGACACUCUUGGUGACCUGGGCAGAGCUGGAGCAGAGCCAAGAGGUGGAGGAUGACCUUGUCCCUUGAUCCAGUCACACCUGAAAGCCAAUAUAUAGUCUUGAACCACUAAAUUAGUUCCUUUGGUCUCUUCUUCCUUUCCCUCUGUCUCUCCUUUUGUAUUCUUUCUGUACCUGUCAGUGCAUGAGUUGGGUUUUUGUCCUUUGCAGCCCUGAUUAUACGGGUAGUAUGAGACCAGGAAAUAGUGCCCAGGGCAGGGUCACCGUCCUGUGUGAUCCUUUCUCCCUGAUCCCAGCCUCACUGCCUGAGAUCCUGUCACCUUGCUCUGCCUACCCACAAGACACCCUAUCACGUAGAGGUCUCCAACACCUGAGGUCCCACAGCCUGAAGGCAAAGGACAGGUGUGACACACACCCUGCCCCCCCCUCCCCCAGGAAACCCACCCUGGACACCCCGACCUCCCCAGGGAAAGAAGAGCAGAGACACAGGACAGACUCCGAGACAGGCGCCUGGGGUUUUAUUCAAAACAACACUGGUCGUGUUGCCGCCUGGUUCCCUGUGCCCGGGCCUUCUGAGCCAGCAGGGACCAGCGCCGUCGGCAGCUAGGAGGGGAGUUCGUCACGCCAUAGAAACUGUACAGCCACGGGGAGGGCUACGGCGCAGCAGCAGAGCCAGCGAGGCUUCCCGGACGAGGUGGCCGCUGCCUCCUCCCCCGCUCGGCCCUGGCUCUGCCAGGAACACUGAUUAUUGCACAAAGACAAGAAGAGUAUGUGUGUCGGGCUAAAGAGCGGCUUCUAGGACCCCAAGCCCUUCCACAGCGCAGCAAAGGGGGCUGGAGUGGCCCUGACCAUGGAGGGCUGAGGGCGGGGACAGCAGACAGGUGGAUGCUGGCAGUUUGGCCUCCUUUCAGGGACAGGAGGACAGCUGGCCAGGACAGGCCACCGCGCGUGUGGUCUUGGGUCCCUCUCCACGAUGCCAAGGUGUCCACCAGCUUCAGCCCUGAAAACACCACCCUUAGGGCCCUGACACCUGGGUCUCCCUUUUCCCCACAGCCAGGCCCCUGUGGAUGAGGCUCCCUGGUCCCUGGUCCUGACACCCCCAGGAACACGGCCAAGUGUCUGGGAUGAGCAUUUGGGGCCCGCCAGGAACCGGCUGCCAGGCCUCAGAUGCUGCCAGAAGAAGCCCAGAGCCUGCUCAUAGAGCACACGACUCACCAGCCUGGCAGGAGGCUGAGUCGUGCGAAGCCAGGCCUCGAGAGCAGGGCUGAGACCUCUCAGCAGGACUGAGCGGAAGUCACCAGACAGCUCGGCAAAGACAGAGGCCCCGAGAUGCCAAGGUGCGUCAAGACACGUCUCAGAUGUGCUGCAUCGCCACUCCUGAGCCAACACCUUCCUGAGCUCCUUCUCGAAACUGAUUUUACCUCCUCAUACUGCUUAGAACUCAGCCUUGAUCUAAGCAAUGUGCCUGUGAAAUCACAGCUUCCGCAUAUUACACUUUUUCUAACAAAUACUGAAAUAAAUGCAUCAUAAGUAUUCAAAUAAAAACACCCGUCUGGAACCUGUUUGGGAAGCACGACUGCAAUGAAACCUGACCUGCAGCUCAGGACGGUGCCAUAGAGACCCAGGGACAGGUACGUGGGAAGCAGGAACCACGGGGCUCCAGGUGAUUGGGCUGCAGGGUUCGGGAGCUGGGCAGCGGGGAGGCUGUCCGGGGCCUGGGCAGACGCCCCAUCCCUGCUAACCCUGUCGGAUCUGCUGUUCCCUGCACUCCGAGAAGACACGGGCAGAGCUGCUCAGGGCAAGGUGAUCACAUCCCUUCAGGGAUGGCUGUACCUCGGGGCUCACCUUGGGGGCACCCCCAGAGUGCUCAGUGGGGUCAGACCCUCACUGUGCCAGAGCCCCCUGCCCAGCCUGGGAGCUGUGCACUACCCCACCCCUGUCCUAAGAAAUACAACUACUCACCCGAGUUUUUCUAAAGAAAACAUCUAACCAGUGACUAUGAUGUGUGCUCAGGAGUGUCUACAAAA